RNAcentral lists this unclassified non-coding RNA (380 nucleotides) under uncultured Gammaproteobacteria bacterium. RNAcentral describes it as "contains 16S-23S intergenic spacer region". Lineage: Bacteria; Pseudomonadati; Pseudomonadota; Gammaproteobacteria. The record is from RNAcentral.
UCCCCGUUAUCCGGGGCGGUUUCGCUAGAGUGCCCGACUUGACUCGCUGGCAACUAACGAUAAGGGUUGCGCUCGUUGCGGGACUUAACCCAACAUCUCACGACACGAGCUGACGACAGCCAUGCAGCACCUGUGUACUGGUUCUCUUUCGAGCACUCCCGCAUCUCUGCAGGAUUCCGACCAUGUCAAGGGUAGGUAAGGUUUUUCGCGUUGCAUCGAAUUAAUCCACAUAAUCCACCGCUUGUGCGGGUCCCCGUCAAUUCCUUUGAGUUUUAACCUUGCGGCCGUACUCCCCAGGCGGUCGACUUCACGCGUUAGCUUCGUUACUGAGAGUGUCAAACCCCCAACAACCAGUCGACAUCGUUUAGGGCGUGGACUAC